GGAUGGGGGCACAGAGCCAAACUACAUCAGUUGGGCACACUGACAAACAUGCUGAGGCUGAGGAGCUUUGUCUCCACAUAAACAGAACUAAAGACAAAAAACACAUGAUUAUCUCAAUAGAUGCAGAAAAGUCUUUUGAUAAAAUUUAACACCCUUUCAUGUUAAAAACUCUUAAUAAACUAGUCAUUGAAGGAACACACCUCAAAAUGAUAAGCGCCAUCUAUAACAAACCCACAACCAUCUUUAGUUGUAACAGCAUCAAUAGUGUUUGUGAUUUUCUCAGUGGCUUAGGGUGCAGUUGUUAGUAGAGGUUGUGGUAAAGUUUUACUCGGGACUGGAAUACCAGAUGGGGCAGUCUUCAGGUACUAGUUGUGGCAGCAGUAAGCUGAAUGUGAUCCAAUGUUUCUGUGUGUUAUCUUCCCACGUGGUCCUGAGUCUCAGAUCAGAGACUUUAUCCUGACAAUAAAACACUGGUAAGCCUAUACCGAUUGCUUUUUUUUGGUACCCAGUGUUGUGCUAGAAACUGGAGCAAGGCAUUCAGAAAGCACUAAAAACCUCUUACAGAUGUUUUACUUUUUGUUAUGUGCAAUUUCUUUGAUUUAUAGUCUAAUUAUCUUCUAUUUCCAUCGGGUCAUUCAUAGCCCUCAUGGCUUAAUUGAUUGAAUAAUUCUGAAUUAAGUAUAAUUUGAGCUUCUGUAUAGGCACUGGCCUGAUUCUCAUAGCAGCUUUUCCGUAUUGCUAUUCUAAUGCAGAAUUUGUGCUUCCACAGUGAUCCACCAACAUUUAAACAAUUUAGGUCUACUUUGGUGACCUGGGUCUUAGUAUAGAUGUAGUAAAAGAGUACUUUGUUUAAAAGGCACAAAUAAAGCCAGUGCUUAUUUAGGUUUGAUAAAUGUGGCUGUGUGUUCUGUGAGUUACAUUUGUUAUAAGGAAUAACAUUCAAAAGAUGCCUUAUUAUUUAUCCAAACUAAAUAACACCGA
RNAcentral lists this long non-coding RNA (981 nucleotides) under Homo sapiens (human). Its description in RNAcentral is "non-protein coding lnc-HTR7-2:1". Lineage: Eukaryota; Metazoa; Chordata; Mammalia; Primates; Hominidae. The record is from RNAcentral.